CACGUAGGGGGCGAGCGUUGUCCGGAUUUAUUGGGCGUAAAGAGCUCGUAGGCGGCUCAGUAAGUCAGGUGUGAAAACUCCAGGCUCAACCUGGAGACGCCACCUGAUACUGCUGUGGCUAGAGUCCGGUAGGGGAGCAUGGAAUUCCUGGUGUAGCGGUGAAAUGCGCAGAUAUCAGGAAGAACACCCGUGGCUAAGGCGGCUCUCUAGUACGGUACUGACGCUGAGACGCGAAAGCGUGGGGAGCGAACAGG
Molecule: ribosomal RNA, 254 nt
Filed under: uncultured bacterium
Lineage: Bacteria
Description: partial 16S ribosomal RNA
Rfam family: Bacterial small subunit ribosomal RNA
Source: RNAcentral